GGUGGGAGCUGUGGGCACAGGCAAGCACCGGGCCACGGUCUAGGCCACCUGCUCACGACGUGUGGGGCCUUCCAGAGCCGCUGCAGGUCCAUCAGAGGCAGAGCCUCCCUUGUCCUGAAGGGCACCACGCUCAGUCUCGUGUCACCACGGAUGUGGCCGUGUCCUGGGGCCAGCAGUGCUGCCCAUCACCCAGGGACGGCCUCACACACGUGUCCUCGCCCCCUAGGUGUCCCCGGGCGUCAUCGCCAACCCCUUUGCUGGCAUCGGCCGCCGGAACAGCCUGGAGAGCGUCUCCUCCAUCGACCGGGAGCUGAGCCCUGAAGGCCCCACCAAGGAGAAGGAGCUGCCUGGACAGACGCCGCAGUGGGGGCCGGAGACCACGGUACCAACUGGGGCGGCUGGAGGGAAGAUGGCGGACACUCCUCGCUCCCCCGGCCUCCAGCAGACAAAACCCGGGGUGAUCCAGCCACUGGCUCAGGCCUGGCCAAGGGGCUCCCCGGCCCCCAGGGACAGAGGCAAUUCCUGCUCUGUGAGUGCCCUGACCGGCGGGCCGGGGGGAGGUCAGAGCUCAGUGAGCAGCUGCGGGCCGGUGGGUG
Myotis davidii is the source of this 596-nucleotide long non-coding RNA. RefSeq lists it as uncharacterized. NCBI's taxonomy places the organism in Eukaryota, Metazoa, Chordata, Mammalia, Chiroptera, Vespertilionidae. The transcript is spliced from 4 exons. The record is from RefSeq and is a predicted model, not a curated record.